AGUGUUUUGCAUAGGCCCCUGCAGGCCCAGGUCAUCUGCUCGGGUUUUAUAAAAGGGGCAUUUCCAGUGUGAGCUGCGCUGUAUCAGGCAGGCAGGGGCAGCAAGAUGCUGACGCAGACGCAGGUCCUUAUAUCUGUGUUGCUCUGGGUCUCAGGAGCCUGUGGGGACGUCAUGAUGACCCAGUCUCCAGACUCCUUGGCAGCGUCUCUAGGACAGAGAGUCGAGAUGAAGUGCAAGGCCAGUCAGAGUGUUAGCAGCUACUUAGCUUGGUACCAGCACAAACCAGGACAGGCUCCUAAGCGGCUCAUCUAUGCUGCAUCCAGCAGAGCAUCUGGGGUCCCUGACCGAUUCAGUGGCAGUGGAUCUGGGAUGGAUUUCACUCUCACCAUCAGCAGCCUCCAGGCUGAAGAUGUGGCCAUUUAUUACUGUAUGCAGCAUUAUAAUAAUCCUCCCACAGUGCUUCAGGCUCGAACACAAACCUCCUCCCCAAAACCGUGGCUCAGUGAGUCUUUGCUGCAGCAGCUGCUUCCUCACCACACAGGCAUCUAUGUGCACAUUCUUCCAUCUGCCUGAGAGGUCAUAUCACCU
Equus caballus (horse) is the source of this 588-nucleotide non-coding RNA. The record is from the annotation of a RefSeq genome assembly. NCBI's taxonomy places the organism in Eukaryota, Metazoa, Chordata, Mammalia, Perissodactyla, Equidae.